AGGUGGAAUGGUGGUGGAGGUGGUGGUGCAGGUGUUGGUGGUAGAGGUGGGGUGUCGAUGGUAGAAAUGGUAUUGUCUACAUGGCUUUCCUACUCAGUGCCAAGAGCACUCCAGUUUUCCUGUGUGGACUUGUCCAUCAAGAUGUCUCCCUGUUCAAGGCAGGGCUCGUGCUUUAGCAAGACCAGAGGACCCUCUCCCUGGAAUGUGAGUUGAUGGUGCAGGCAGGUCAUGGCAGGUGCUGCUCCUGCAACAGCAGCACUGCAGAGGUGGCCCUUGUGCUGGAGGCCCGUCACAUUCCCAGGUUUCCAUCUCUUCCUUGAUUCUGGGUUCCUGGGCCUCCAUAAGGUCCUUGGUGCCAGAUGCCUUUCUGUCACCUGUGCUGAGAAGGCUGGAGACUGUGCAAGAGGAUGGGCCUCAGUGAGUGGUGGUGAGAAUCACUCCCAAGCUUUGAGCACUGUGUGAGUGGCCAGUUUCAACAACAGUGGCUAGGCAGUGGCUCUGUGCCCCCCACAGAGGAGGAGCCCAGGCCGGGAGACUUACACCGUCGUCUUCCAGGGUCCUCAGCAGCACGUGUGGAAUCUGUCCAAACACCCGGUCUCACUCCAGCAGUGUCACACCAAGUGUCUGCCCUCCCCAAAUUCGCCCUUCCUUGACUCUGCUAGACACCUCCAGCCUGGCACGCCUGGCAUGGCGGGGGCCUGAAAUCCUUCCACUCCGGAGGCUGAGCCCAGAGGAACUGAGCCCAAGAGUUCCGGGCCAGCUGAAGCAACACGAGGAGACUCCACCUCGUAGACCACAAGGACAACUGCAAAAGCUACUGCUGACGCCCUCUGGCAGGCCCAGCUCCACCAGCGCAGGGGCCUCACCAAGAGGUUUUGCUUGCUCACAUCUGCUGGGCUUCUCCCGUCUUUCAAGAGGGAAAUGUCAAGUGAGAGAAGCCCCAAAGCAACAUGGUAGUGUGACCUGCCUACACUCUCCUUGGCCCCAGGCCACACUCUCCCGCAGAUUGGUCAGGAAUCUGCUGCAAAAAGGUAUUCACAUUCUGAAUGAGCAAGUGAUCAGCCCUCAGUCUGACUAAGCUACAGAGAACCUCGCCAGGGUCUGGGAGCCACCCGCCUCCUAGGCAACCCUCACCACCAGCCGACUACCAGGCCAGCAUGCUGCCUCCUAGAGCCCAGGGCACACUGGGCUAGAGGGAGAAUCUGGCCUGCCAAGCACCAGGCUUUCCUCCAGACCUGGGCCACCGGCUUGCUGCCCAGGCUCUGCUCAGCCACGUGCACCUGAUUGGUGUCCGGGGUACCAGCUCCUCUCUCUUUGGCCACUUUCAGUUAGUUACUGCUAGUGCUGUGGCAUGGAUUUCAGAGCAAGACUUUCCACACACUAAAGGGGGGCUUCCUUGUGCUUCCUUCCUGCAGUGGGAGAGGCUGGUGCACAAGCCGCCUUCAGCACAAGGGCCAGGAAGGACCCAGCAACGCAAAAUUGAGUCCAGUGGAGAGACCAGUGUCUCUCUGCCCCUGUGGAACAGAGCCUGGACCACACGGUAGCAGGCCCUGUGGCUCAGAUGACAGGCACUGCAGGGCCAAGCCAGCAUGGCUCUGCAUCUGCCACAGAGCCCCGGAACUCACGACUGGUUGGGAGAAUCAGGGAACUUUGGGAUGGAAUAGAGGACAUUCCAGGUCCCCUGUUUAAAUGUCACGCUAUUCUGUUUUCACUUUAAAACACGGACACCCUCCUCAGGCCAUUCUGGCGCCCAGGGGGUCUGUCAGUGAUCAGCGGUCAGUGUGUGCUACACAGCUACUGGGCAGAGGAGGCCUAGAGCCCUCUGAAAGGGCGGAGCGGGGCUGGCUGUGCCUGCUGCAGCCCGAGGCUGCUCACAGGGCCUGGGUGUAAGAUGAGCUUCACCAGGAACCAGGCCAGUUCCAGUCCACACAAGACAGACUCCAGGGUCACAGAGACGUUCUCAGGAGACUGGGGUCGUAAAAGGCCACGGUGCAAACUUGCAGAGGCGCCCGAGCCUGAAGAUGGAGAAGCUUGAGUUUUCACUCCCCUUGACCAAGGUCCAUCAGACACGCCCAUGGCAUUGUUCACAAUGAUGCCAAAAAAGCAUUCUGCCAUUUACAGGGUGCUGGGCACCGACUCAGCCUUCUGGGAACUGUGAAUCGCCAGGACAGGCAGAGGCAGUGGGGGCCCCAAGAGGGCAGGCAGGGGCAGCAGGCUGGGGCCUGUAACACAGCAAGCAGCAGCAGCCCCUGGCGGGUGUGCGGGGCGACCUGAACCCUAACCUGCCCAGGGCUCUGUCAGUCUACAGGACGUCACUCACAGGCCCACAUGGGAAUAAGCCAAACGUAGAAGGAGCAAAAUGCUACAAGAGGAAACCAGGGGCUUCGGCCAUUCAUGCAGGAGGGGAGAAGUGCUACCUAUCAAGAGGGUGUCAGGACACAGGAAUCCAGAUGAAGCAAGCCAAUCACAGAGAUGCAUUUUGAGACAGGGAC
RNAcentral lists this long non-coding RNA (2492 nucleotides) under Marmota monax (woodchuck). The record is from RNAcentral. Lineage: Eukaryota; Metazoa; Chordata; Mammalia; Rodentia; Sciuridae.